GCUUACGGCAUACCACCUCAAUGCGCCCGAUCUCAUCUUAUCUCGGAAGCUAAGCAGGGUCAUGCCUGGUUAGUACUUGGAUGGGUGACCGCCUGGGAAUACCAGGUGCUGUAAGCU
Molecule: ribosomal RNA, 117 nt
Filed under: Larimichthys crocea (large yellow croaker)
Lineage: Eukaryota; Metazoa; Chordata; Actinopteri; Sciaenidae
Source: RNAcentral